GACGAACGCUGGCGGCGUGCUUAACACAUGCAAGUCGAACGAUGAUGCCCAGCUUGCUGGGUGGAUUAGUGGCGAACGGGUGAGUAACACGUGAGUAACCUGCCCCUGACUCUGGGAUAAGCGUUGGAAACGACGUCUAAUACUGGAUAUGAUCACUGGCCGCAUGGUCUGGUGGUGGAAAGAUUUUUUGGUUGGGGAUGGACUCGCGGCCUAUCAGCUUGUUGGUGAGGUAAUGGCUCACCAAGGCGACGACGGGUAGCCGGCCUGAGAGGGUGACCGGCCACACUGGGACUGAGACACGGCCCAGACUCCUACGGGAGGCAGCAGUGGGGAAUAUUGCACAAUGGGCGAAAGCCUGAUGCAGCAACGCCGCGUGAGGGAUGACGGCCUUCGGGUUGUAAACCUCUUUUAGUAGGGAAGAAGCGAAAGUGACGGUACCUGCAGAAGAAGCACCGGCUAACUACGUGCCAGCAGCCGCGGUAAUACGUAGGGUGCAAGCGUUGUCCGGAAUUAUUGGGCGUAAAGAGCUCGUAGGCGGUUUGUCGCGUCUGCUGUGAAAUCCCGAGGCUCAACCUCGGGCUUGCAGUGGGUACGGGCAGACUAGAGUGCGGUAGGGGAGAUUGGAAUUCCUGGUGUAGCGGUGGAAUGCGCAGAUAUCAGGAGGAACACCGAUGGCGAAGGCAGAUCUCUGGGCCGUAACUGACGCUGAGGAGCGAAAGCAUGGGGAGCGAACAGGAUUAGAUACCCUGGUAGUCCAUGCCGUAAACGUUGGGCGCUAGAUGUAGGGACCUUUCCACGGUUUCUGUGUCGUAGCUAACGCAUUAAGCGCCCCGCCUGGGGAGUACGGCCGCAAGGCUAAAACUCAAAGGAAUUGACGGGGGGCCGCACAAGCGGCGGAGCAUGCGGAUUAAUUCGAUGCAACGCGAAGAACCUUACCAAGGCUUGACAUACACCGGAAACGGCCAGAGAUGGUCGCCCCCUUGUGGUCCGGUGUACAGGUGGUGCAUGGUUGUCGUCAGCUCGUGUCGUGAGAUGUUGGGUUAAGUCCCGCAACGAGCGCAACCCUCGUUCUAUGUUGCCAGCGGGUUAUGCCGGGGACUCAUAGGAGACUGCCGGGGUCAACUCGGAGGAAGGUGGGGAUGACGUCAAAUCAUCAUGCCCCUUAUGUCUUGGGCUUCACGCAUGCUACAAUGGCCGGUACAAAGGGCUGCGAUACCGUAAGGUGGAGCGAAUCCCAAAAAGCCGGUCUCAGUUCGGAUUGAGGUCUGCAACUCGACCUCAUGAAGUCGGAGUCGCUAGUAAUCGCAGAUCAGCAACGCUGCGGUGAAUACGUUCCCGGGCCUUGUACACACCGCCCGUCAAGUCAUGAAAGUCGGUAACACCCGAAGCCGGUGGCCUAACCC
Molecule: ribosomal RNA, 1403 nt
Filed under: rainbow trout intestinal bacterium B85
Lineage: Bacteria; Bacillati; Actinomycetota; Actinomycetes; Micrococcales; Microbacteriaceae
Description: 16S ribosomal RNA
Rfam family: Bacterial small subunit ribosomal RNA
Source: RNAcentral